Molecule: unclassified non-coding RNA, 330 nt
Filed under: soil metagenome
Description: partial contains 5.8S ribosomal RNA, internal transcribed spacer 2, and large subunit ribosomal RNA
Rfam family: 5.8S ribosomal RNA (bases 1-120)
Source: RNAcentral
GAUGAAGAACGCAGCGAAAUGCGAUAAGUAAUGUGAAUUGCAGAAUUCAGUGAAUCAUGGAAUCUUUGAACGCACAUUGCGCCCCCUGGUAUUCCGGGGGGCAUGCCUGUUCGAGCGUCAUUUCACCACUCAAGCCUCGCUUGGUAUUGGGCAACGCGGUCCGCCGCGUGCCUCAAAUCGACCGGCUGGGUCUUCUGUCCCCUAAGCGUUGUGGAAACUUUCGCUAAAGGGUGUUCGGGAGGCUACGCCGUAAAACAACCCCAUUUCUAAGGUUGACCUCGGAUCAGGUAGGGAUACCCGCUGAACUUAAGCAUAUCAAUAAGCGGAGGA